GAUGAACGCUGGCGGCGUGCCUAAUACAUGCAAGUCGAGCGAACAGACGAGGAGCUUGCUCCUCUGACGUUAGCGGCGGACGGGUGAGUAACACGUGGAUAACCUACCUAUAAGACUGGGAUAACUUCGGGAAACCGGAGCUAAUACCGGAUAAUAUAUUGAACCGCAUGGUUCAAUAGUGAAAGACGGUUUUGCUGUCACUUAUAGAUGGAUCCGCGCCGCAUUAGCUAGUUGGUAAGGUAACGGCUUACCAAGGCAACGAUGCGUAGCCGACCUGAGAGGGUGAGCGGCCACCAUGGAACUGAUACACGGUCCAGACUCCUGCGGGAGGCAGCAGUAGGGAAUCUUCCGCAAUGGUCGAAAGCCUGACGGAGCAACGCCGCGUGAGUGAUGAAGGUCUUCGGAUCGUAAAACUCUGUUAUUAGGGAAGAACAAAUGUGUAAGUAACUAUGCACGUCUUGACGGUACCUAAUCAGAAAGCCACGGCUAACUACGUG
Molecule: ribosomal RNA, 497 nt
Filed under: uncultured bacterium
Lineage: Bacteria
Description: partial 16S ribosomal RNA
Rfam family: Bacterial small subunit ribosomal RNA
Source: RNAcentral